UGGGGAAUAUUGCACAAUGGGCGCAAGCCUGAUGCAGCCAUGCCGCGUGUGUGAAGAAGGCCUUCGGGUUGUAAAGCACUUUCAGCGAGGAGGAAGGUGGUGGACUUAAUACGUUCAUCAAUUGACGUUACUCGCAGAAGAAGCACCGGCUAACUCCGUGCCAGCAGCCGCGGUAAUACGGAGGGUGCAGGCGUUAAUCGGAAUUACUGGGCGUAAAGCGCACGCAGGCGGUUUGUUAAGUCAGAUGUGAAAUCCCCGGGCUCAACCUGGGAACUGCAUUUGAAACUGGCAAGCUAGAGUCUCGUAGAGGGGGGUAGAAUUCCAGGUGUAGCGGUGAAAUGCGUAGAGAUCUGGAGGAAUACCGGUGGCGAAGGCGGCCCCCUGGACGAAGACUGACGCUCAGGUGCGAAAGCGUGGGGAGCAAACAGGAUUAGAUACCCCUGGUAGUCCACGUGUAAACGAUGUCGAUUUUGGAGGUUGUGCCCUUGAGGCGUGGCUUCCGGAGCUAACGCG
This 513-nucleotide ribosomal RNA is filed under the name uncultured bacterium. RNAcentral's name for it is "partial 16S ribosomal RNA". It matches the Rfam family "Bacterial small subunit ribosomal RNA", at positions 355 to 859 of the family's 1533-position model. The record is from RNAcentral.